CAAAGCAGUUGUAAUCCGGCAUAAGUCGGUCUAAGUAGGGUAAAGCAUGGUCAAAGUAUGUCAAAGUCGUUGUAAGGUGGGUUAAGUCGGGUAAAAGAAGUUGAACAGCAUAUCAAAGCAGUUGUAAUCCAGCCUAAGUCGGUCUAAGUAGGGUAAAGCAUGGUUAAAGUAUGUCAAAGUCAUUGUAAGGUGGGUUAAGUCGGG
Molecule: non-coding RNA, 204 nt
Organism: Paramuricea clavata
Lineage: Eukaryota; Metazoa; Cnidaria; Anthozoa; Malacalcyonacea; Plexauridae
Source: the annotation of a GenBank genome assembly